CCACCAAAGUUGAGUUCUUUAUAUGCCUUGAAAUAGCAGAGCAAAUUACCAUCAUUGCUUAUGUUAUUUGAAGUCAAAACGUUCUUACAUUGGAGACAGCUGUGGAUUUUGAAUGCUUUGCUUAACAAAUAUCCUGAAACAUAGGCAGCAGCAUUUUUGAGCAAUAAAUUGUUGCUAAUAUUUUGUUCUCGGUAGUCAUUUUCACCAAUCAACAGUGAGUUACUUGGAGCUUUUGCAUGGACCAGUUUCCUUUGGAAGAGGUCAAAAGUGAACUGAAAAAAACCUUUCGAAAAGCUCUGAUAAAUUGUAUUGGCGUGGGAUUGUCAGAAUUACCUCCUUGCUGGCAUAUUGUUCCAAAAAAAUUCUCUAGAGCAUCUGUGUUUAAUCUUCUGUGUGGAACUAUUGAUGCAAUCGAAAAGUGAAUCAAAUUUUAAAAGCAACUCAGCUGUACCCAAGGCUGAUGGUGGUAGUGCUCCAAUUGAUGAAUAUGUGCAAAUCGAUGCAGCAACGGUGUGGCUGAAUAUUUGUGCAGCAUAUUUAACUUGAAAAUUAAUCUGAAUUAAUGCAGCGACAGCGAUGUAACGAAAAUAACAAUAUAUAUAUAUAUAUUAAUAGAAGCAAGAGGAUAAUUUUAUUUCCUUACAACGGAAUCAAUACUUUAUAUUAUCUAAAACAUGACAAAUAUUAGGAACAUAUAGUUAAGAGCAUCUGGAAGUUAGCUACAAUCAUACAAUAUAAGAAUUUUCCCAACACAAUAUGGCAUUGGCAUUAAAUACAAUUGCACAAGUUUGCAAUUUCUCAAUGAACAUUUAUCGAGUGUUCGGGAUAUAACUAAAUUUGUCUGAAUUCUAAAGCACCAAAUCCAAUGUCAUACGAAAUAUCUUUUUUAUUGUUCCUUCUUGUUUCUGAUUUAAAGACGUUCGUUAAGCGCUUCUCCGCUUCCGUUCUUUACAAAUAAAUAAAUACGAAUAACCUUGA
Xenia sp. Carnegie-2017 is the source of this 978-nucleotide long non-coding RNA. RefSeq lists it as uncharacterized. The record is from RefSeq and is a predicted model, not a curated record. NCBI's taxonomy places the organism in Eukaryota, Metazoa, Cnidaria, Anthozoa, Malacalcyonacea, Xeniidae. The transcript has 3 exons.